AUUGAACGCUGGCGGCAGGCCUAACACAUGCAAGUCGAGCGGUAGCACAGAGAGCUUGCUCUCGGGUGACGAGCGGCGGACGGGUGAGUAAUGUCUGGGAAACUGCCUGAUGGAGGGGGAUAACUACUGGAAACGGUAGCUAAUACCGCAUAACGUCGCAAGACCAAAGUGGGGGACCUUCGGGCCUCAUGCCAUCAGAUGUGCCCAGAUGGGAUUAGCUAGUAGGUGGGGUAACGGCUCACCUAGGCGACGAUCCCUAGCUGGUCUGAGAGGAUGACCAGCCACACUGGAACUGAGACACGGUCCAGACUCCUACGGGAGGCAGCAGUGGGGAAUAUUGCACAAUGGGCGCAAGCCUGAUGCAGCCAUGCCGCGUGUGUGAAGAAGGCCUUCGGGUUGUAAAGCACUUUCAGCGGGGAGGAAGGCGGUGAGGUUAAUAACCUCAUCGAUUGACGUUACCCGCAGAAGAAGCACCGGCUAACUCCGUGCCAGCCGCCGCGGUAA
Molecule: ribosomal RNA, 504 nt
Filed under: uncultured bacterium
Lineage: Bacteria
Description: partial 16S ribosomal RNA
Rfam family: Bacterial small subunit ribosomal RNA
Source: RNAcentral